ACCAACAGCUAGCUUUUUGCUAACUCUCACAUGGUCGCCCACUGAAGCUAAGCAGGGCUGCACCCGAUCAGUACCUGAAUGGGAGACCACAUGGGAAGGCUAGGUUACUGCCUGUA
Ribosomal RNA from Danio rerio (zebrafish), 116 nucleotides. NCBI's taxonomy places the organism in Eukaryota, Metazoa, Chordata, Actinopteri, Cypriniformes, Danionidae. The record is from Ensembl.